This 228-nucleotide ribosomal RNA is filed under the name uncultured bacterium. RNAcentral describes it as "partial 16S ribosomal RNA". It matches the Rfam family "Bacterial small subunit ribosomal RNA", at positions 103 to 334 of the family's 1533-position model. The record is from RNAcentral.
CGGGUGAGUAAUACAUCGGAACGUGUCUUCUAGUGGGGGAUAACUGCCCGAAAGGGCAGCUAAUACCGCAUGAGACCUGAGGGUGAAAGCGGGGGAUCGCAAGACCUCGCGCUGGAAGAGCGGCCGAUGUCCGAUUAGCUGGUUGGUGAGGUAAAGGCUCACCAAGGCGACGAUCGGUAGCUGGUCUGAGAGGACGACCAGCCACACUGGGACUGAGACACGGCCCAG